RNAcentral lists this ribosomal RNA (43 nucleotides) under Cladonia borealis. RNAcentral's name for it is "partial 18S ribosomal RNA". The record is from RNAcentral. Lineage: Eukaryota; Fungi; Ascomycota; Lecanoromycetes; Lecanorales; Cladoniaceae.
AAGUCGUAACAAGGUUUCCGUAGGUAGAACCUGCGGAAGGAUC